UACGGGGGGGGCAAGCGUUGUUCGGAUUUACUGGGCGUAAAGGGCGCGUAGGCGGCGCGACAAGUCACUUGUGAAAUCUCCGGGCUUAACCCGGAGCGGCCAAGUGAUACUGUCGUGCUCGAGUGCGGAAGGGGCCACCGGAAUUCUCGGUGUAGCGGUGAAAUGCGUAGAUAUCGAGAGGAACACCUGCGGCGAAGGCGGGUGGCUGGGCCGACACUGACGCUGAGGCGCGAAAGCCAGGGGAGCGAACGGG
This 253-nucleotide ribosomal RNA is filed under the name uncultured bacterium. RNAcentral's name for it is "partial 16S ribosomal RNA". It matches the Rfam family "Bacterial small subunit ribosomal RNA", at positions 524 to 776 of the family's 1533-position model. The record is from RNAcentral.